UGGGGAAUAUUGGACAAUGGGCGCAAGCCUGAUCCAGCAAUGCCGCGUGUGUGAAGAAGGCCUGCGGGUUGUAAAGCACUUUAAGCAGGAAAGAAGGGUGGGUUGUUAAUACCAGCUCACAUUGACGUUACCUGCAGAAUAAGCACCGGCUAACUCCGUGCCAGCAGCCGCGGUAAUACGGAGGGUGCGAGCGUUAAUCGGAAUUACUGGGCGUAAAGCGCGCGUAGGCGGUUUGUUAAGUCUUUUGUGAAAGCCCUGGGCUUAACCUGGGAACGGCACGGGAUACUGGCAAGCUAGAGUGUGGUAGAGGGUAGCGGAAUUUCCGGUGUAGCAGUGAAAUGCGUAGAGAUCGGAAGGAACACCUGUGGCGAAGGCGGCUAUCUGGACCAACACUGACGCUGAGGUGCGAAAGCGUGGGGAGCAAACA
RNAcentral lists this ribosomal RNA (427 nucleotides) under uncultured Methylococcaceae bacterium. Its description in RNAcentral is "partial 16S ribosomal RNA". It matches the Rfam family "Bacterial small subunit ribosomal RNA", at positions 355 to 774 of the family's 1533-position model. The record is from RNAcentral. Lineage: Bacteria; Pseudomonadati; Pseudomonadota; Gammaproteobacteria; Methylococcales; Methylococcaceae.